Molecule: long non-coding RNA, 448 nt
Filed under: Mustela putorius furo (domestic ferret)
Lineage: Eukaryota; Metazoa; Chordata; Mammalia; Carnivora; Mustelidae
Description: lncRNA (ENSMPUG00000026405.1)
Source: RNAcentral
GAAACAUGGACCUAAAGAAAUGACUGUGCCAUGUUGACUGUAGAAAGCUUCUAGGAGCAAAUUAACACAUAAAAAAUUGACAUUUCCUGUGAUUAACUGGAGCAUUUUCUUUAAUCCUAAGAGGAAACAGCAGUGGAACAAUACCAAGACUCAAGGCUUGCACAUGGGUCCAAAUGGAGUCUUUCAGGGUCAGAACCAGGAUCUUCUAGAACCCAGCCUCCUGAAAGUGCAAAUGGAGAAACUGAAUCUUCAAGACAGGGAACAAUUUGCCAGAGAUGCAAUCAAAUGUUAGAAUGCCACACAGUUUAAAAAGCAGAACAAAUGUCCACAGAGAGGAUAUGGGAGAUGUUACUGUAAAUAAAGCAACUUUCUAUAACAGCCCCAUUAAUUUGUCUGGAACUUAGUAAGUACCACUAAACAUAAGCUUGGUACCUCCCCCAAAUCUGGC